UCCAUGGAUAAAAGAUUAAAGAGAGGAACUAAUUGCUUAAGGUAAUAGUUGUCUCUACCGACACUAAGGUGCGAAAGCAUGGGAGCAAACAUGAUUAGACACCCUGGUAGUCCAUGCCGUAAACGAUGAGUAUUCACCCUUGAUGUACGCGGAUAAGGAGCCCAGCUAACGUGUGAAAUACUCUUCCUAGGGAGUACUGUCUUACGAUCGAAACUCAAAAGAAGUGAUGGGGGCCCUGCACAAGUUCACAAUUUCUUAAUUAGUGCAAUUAUAUAUAUAUAUAUAUAUAUAUAUAUAUAUAUAUAU
Molecule: non-coding RNA, 306 nt
Filed under: Solanum lycopersicum (tomato)
Lineage: Eukaryota; Viridiplantae; Streptophyta; Magnoliopsida; Solanales; Solanaceae
Also listed under: 1 other name
Description: Bacterial small subunit ribosomal RNA
Rfam family: Bacterial small subunit ribosomal RNA
Source: Rfam by way of RNAcentral